CAGAGUAGGCCAAUAUUCGUCAAGUGUCCGGCAGACGGGGAGUUGCUGCCGGGACGAAAAGCCGGAUGACCGGCUUGCGGUUUAUUGGCCGCAUCCCGCUGU
Molecule: non-coding RNA, 102 nt
Filed under: pig gut metagenome
Description: THF riboswitch
Rfam family: THF (Tetrahydrofolate) riboswitch aptamer
About the family: THF riboswitch presents a pseudoknot that joins P1-P2 and the loop of P3 and two THF binding.
Source: RNAcentral